This 2989-nucleotide ribosomal RNA is filed under the name Salmonella enterica subsp. enterica serovar Gallinarum. Its description in RNAcentral is "23S ribosomal RNA". It matches the Rfam family "Bacterial large subunit ribosomal RNA". The record is from RNAcentral. Lineage: Bacteria; Pseudomonadati; Pseudomonadota; Gammaproteobacteria; Enterobacterales; Enterobacteriaceae. RNAcentral also lists the same sequence under 28 other names.
GGUUAAGCGACUAAGCGUACACGGUGGAUGCCCUGGCAGUCAGAGGCGAUGAAGGGCGUGCUAAUCUGCGAUAAGCGCCGGUAAGGUGAUAUGAACCGUUAUAACCGGCGAUACCCGAAUGGGGAAACCCAGUGUGAUUCGUCACACUAUCAUUAACUGAAUCCAUAGGUUAAUGAGGCGAACCGGGGGAACUGAAACAUCUAAGUACCCCGAGGAAAAGAAAUCAACCGAGAUUCCCCCAGUAGCGGCGAGCGAACGGGGAGGAGCCCAGAGCCUGAAUCAGCAUGUGUGUUAGUGGAAGCGUCUGGAAAGGCGCGCGAUACAGGGUGACAGCCCCGUACACAAAAGCGCAUGUGCUGUGAGCUCGAUGAGUAGGGCGGGACACGUGGUAUCCUGUCUGAAUAUGGGGGGACCAUCCUCCAAGGCUAAAUACUCCUGACUGACCGAUAGUGAACCAGUACCGUGAGGGAAAGGCGAAAAGAACCCCGGCGAGGGGAGUGAAAAAGAACCUGAAACCGUGUACGUACAAGCAGUGGGAGCACAGGUUUACCUGUGUGACUGCGUACCUUUUGUAUAAUGGGUCAGCGACUUAUAUUCUGUAGCAAGGUUAACCGAAUAGGGGAGCCGGAGGGAAACCGAGUCUUAACCGGGCGUUAAGUUGCAGGGUAUAGACCCGAAACCCGGUGAUCUAGCCAUGGGCAGGUUGAAGGUUGGGUAACACUAACUGGAGGACCGAACCGACUAAUGUUGAAAAAUUAGCGGAUGACCUGUGGCUGGGGGUGAAAGGCCAAUCAAACCGGGAGAUAGCUGGUUCUCCCCGAAAGCUAUUUAGGUAGCGCCUCGUGAAUUCAUCUCCGGGGGUAGAGCACUGUUUCGGCUAGGGGGCCAUCCCGGCUUACCAACCCGAUGCAAACUGCGAAUACCGGAGAAUGUUAUCACGGGAGACACACGGCGGGUGCUAACGUCCGUCGUGAAGAGGGAAACAACCCAGACCGCCAGCUAAGGUCCCAAAGUCAUGGUUAAGUGGGAAACGAUGUGGGAAGGCCCAGACAGCCAGGAUGUUGGCUUAGAAGCAGCCAUCAUUUAAAGAAAGCGUAAUAGCUCACUGGUCGAGUCGGCCUGCGCGGAAGAUGUAACGGGGCUAAACCAUGCACCGAAGCUGCGGCAGCGAACGUAUCACUUAAAGCGAUUCAGCGGGUUACGAUUGACGGAGCGAAGCGACGUCAAAGCGUAUACAAAGUCGAGUCGGUUUAAGGAUACGUUCGUUGGGUAGGGGAGCGUUCUGUAAGCCUGCGAAGGUGGCCUGUGAGGGUUGCUGGAGGUAUCAGAAGUGCGAAUGCUGACAUAAGUAACGAUAAAGCGGGUGAAAAGCCCGCUCGCCGGAAGACCAAGGGUUCCUGUCCAACGUUAAUCGGGGCAGGGUGAGUCGACCCCUAAGGCGAGGCCGAAAGGCGUAGUCGAUGGGAAACGGGUUAAUAUUCCCGUACUUGGUGUUACUGCGAAGGGGGGACGGAGAAGGCUAUGUUGGCCGGGCGACGGUUGUCCCGGUUUAAGCGUGUAGGUGUGUGUUCCAGGUAAAUCCGGUUCACUUUAACACUGAGGCGUGAUGACGAGGCACUACGGUGCUGAAGUAACAAAUGCCCUGCUUCCAGGAAAAGCCUCUAAGCAUCAGGUAACAUCAAAUCGUACCCCAAACCGACACAGGUGGUCAGGUAGAGAAUACCAAGGCGCUUGAGAGAACUCGGGUGAAGGAACUAGGCAAAAUGGUGCCGUAACUUCGGGAGAAGGCACGCUGACACGUAGGUGAAGUGAUUUACUCACGGAGCUGAAGUCAGUCGAAGAUACCAGCUGGCUGCAACUGUUUAUUAAAAACACAGCACUGUGCAAACACGAAAGUGGACGUAUACGGUGUGACGCCUGCCCGGUGCCGGAAGGUUAAUUGAUGGGGUCAGCGCAAGCGAAGCUCCUGAUCGAAGCCCCGGUAAACGGCGGCCGUAACUAUAACGGUCCUAAGGUAGCGAAAUUCCUUGUCGGGUAAGUUCCGACCUGCACGAAUGGCGUAAUGAUGGCCAGGCUGUCUCCACCCGAGACUCAGUGAAAUUGAACUCGCUGUGAAGAUGCAGUGUACCCGCGGCAAGACGGAAAGACCCCGUGAACCUUUACUAUAGCUUGACACUGAACAUUGAGCCUUGAUGUGUAGGAUAGGUGGGAGGCUUUGAAGUGUGGACGCCAGUCUGCAUGGAGCCGACCUUGAAAUACCACCCUUUAAUGUUUGAUGUUCUAACGUGGACCCGUUACCCGGGUUGCGGACAGUGUCUGGUGGGUAGUUUGACUGGGGCGGUCUCCUCCUAAAGAGUAACGGAGGAGCACGAAGGUUGGCUAAUCCUGGUCGGACAUCAGGAGGUUAGUGCAAUGGCAUAAGCCAGCUUGACUGCGAGCGUGACGGCGCGAGCAGGUGCGAAAGCAGGUCAUAGUGAUCCGGUGGUUCUGAAUGGAAGGGCCAUCGCUCAACGGAUAAAAGGUACUCCGGGGAUAACAGGCUGAUACCGCCCAAGAGUUCAUAUCGACGGCGGUGUUUGGCACCUCGAUGUCGGCUCAUCACAUCCUGGGGCUGAAGCAGGUCCCAAGGGUAUGGCUGUUCGCCAUUUAAAGUGGUACGCGAGCUGGGUUUAGAACGUCGUGAGACAGUUCGGUCCCUAUCUGCCGUGGGCGCUGGAGAACUGAGGGGGGCUGCUCCUAGUACGAGAGGACCGGAGUGGACGCAUCACUGGUGUUCGGGUUGUCAUGCCAAUGGCACUGCCCGGUAGCUAAAUGCGGAAGAGAUAAGUGCUGAAAGCAUCUAAGCACGAAACUUGCCCCGAGAUGAGUUCUCCCUGAGACUUAGAGUCUCCUGAAGGAACGUUGAAGACGACGACGUUGAUAGGCCGGGUGUGUAAGCGCAGCGAUGCGUUGAGCUAACCGGUACUAAUGAACCGUGAGGCUUAACCUU